This is a long non-coding RNA of Haliotis rubra (blacklip abalone), 391 nucleotides long. RefSeq lists it as uncharacterized. Lineage: Eukaryota; Metazoa; Mollusca; Gastropoda; Lepetellida; Haliotidae. The transcript is spliced from 2 exons. The record is from RefSeq and is a predicted model, not a curated record.
GAAUGAACGAAGAUAGGUGUUGAGUGCUUGAGCAUCAAAAUUCUCAAAAUCGGAAGGAUACCCCCUCUCUUGGAGCCACUCUGCGAAUAAGAGAAGGUCAUCAUCCUUGACCUUUGCAAAGCGAGAGCUGGAGCCACUCUGGUCAGCCGAUACUGAUGGACGCUCGGUUGUCGAGGCCUGGUCCGGGAUUUUGACAGCGUUAGCCGAGUUGUCAACCUGAAUGGAUUGUACGUCAGGUUCUUGGAGAGAGUCGAAACCUAUUCCCAAGUAAAAAUUAUUGUUUUUAACAACUGUAAGUACUUUUUUAAGUUUAUUCAUUUGUCAAUUACCAGAAAUCUUUUAUCAACACUGUCCUUUGUAUGUCACUUUUAGAAUAAAUGUGUUUGCUCAA